This 942-nucleotide ribosomal RNA is filed under the name uncultured Bacteroidota bacterium. Its description in RNAcentral is "bacterial SSU rRNA". It matches the Rfam family "Bacterial small subunit ribosomal RNA", at positions 524 to 1482 of the family's 1533-position model. Lineage: Bacteria; Pseudomonadati; Bacteroidota. The record is from RNAcentral.
UACGGAGGAUCCAAGCGUUAUCCGGAAUCAUUGGGUUUAAAGGGUCCGUAGGCGGUUUAAUAAGUCAGUGGUGAAAGCCCAUCGCUCAACGGUGGAACGGCCAUUGAUACUGUUAAACUUGAAUUAUUAGGAAGUAACUAGAAUAUGUAGUGUAGCGGUGAAAUGCUUAGAGAUUACAUGGAAUACCAAUUGCGAAGGCAGGUUACUACUAAUGGAUUGACGCUGAUGGACGAAAGCGUGGGUAGCGAACAGGAUUAGAUACCCUGGUAGUCCACGCCGUAAACGAUGGAUACUAGCUGUUGGGCGCAAGUUCAGUGGCUAAGCGAAAGUGAUAAGUAUCCCACCUGGGGAGUACGUUCGCAAGAAUGAAACUCAAAGGAAUUGACGGGGGCCCGCACAAGCGGUGGAGCAUGUGGUUUAAUUCGAUGAUACGCGAGGAACCUUACCAAGGCUUAAAUGUAGUUUGACCGGUUUGGAAACAGAUCUUUCGCAAGACAAAUUACAAGGUGCUGCAUGGUUGUCGUCAGCUCGUGCCGUGAGGUGUCAGGUUAAGUCCUAUAACGAGCGCAACCCCUGUUGUUAGUUGCCAGCGAGUCAUGUCGGGAACUCUAACGAGACUGCCAGUGCAAACUGAGAGGAAGGUGGGGAUGACGUCAAAUCAUCACGGCCCUUACGCCUUGGGCUACACACGUGCUACAAUGGCCGGUACAGAGAGCAGCCACUGGGCGACCAGGAGCGAAUCUAUAAAACCGGUCACAGUUCGGAUCGGAGUCUGCAACUCGGCUCCGUGAAGCUGGAGUCGCUAGUAAUCGGAUAUCAGCCAUGAUCCGGUGAAUACGUUCCCGGGCCUUGUACACACCGCCCGUCAAGCCAUGGAAGCUGGGGGUGCCUGAAGUCGGUGACCGCAAGGAGCUGCCUAGGGUAAAACUGGUAACUAGGGCU